Molecule: long non-coding RNA, 1029 nt
Organism: Microplitis mediator
Lineage: Eukaryota; Metazoa; Arthropoda; Insecta; Hymenoptera; Braconidae
Exons: 5
Source: RefSeq, a predicted model, not a curated record
AAUUAACACGUAUUAGAUGCUAAAUAGUAAUUGAAAAAAUUAAAUAAACUUAAAAAAAAUAUUUUUUCAAUUUAAAAUGUGACAUAUUACACAAAGUGUACAUUAAAUUAAAUAUUUUUCCUUGGGUCAGCUGAAAACAAUAAAAAAUGGAAUUCGUCUUAAGAACUGGCUUUCAAAGGAUUACUCAUAAUAUAAAUUUUCAACCACAAACAUUAAUAAAGGGUAAAAAUUUAGUCGCUGCUGAACAUGUGAGAGAUGUUGAAGAACACCGAAAAUUAAAUCUAAGUUAUUUAAUUAAAUCGUGCGUCAUUCGACAAGCAUCGGUCAAUUCAACGCCUUACACAACAUCAUUGAAUAUUAAUGAGACACGACUUGUGACAGAUGUCAAGUGUGAUUGUGUUUACAAUCAGAGCAAGAAAUGUAAACACAUCGCAGCAUUAAUUUAUUACAUUAAUAAUGAGGAGAGUGCAUCAAAAACAAGUCAUGAACAAAAUUUAUACUUGCUAUUUCUACUGGUAUUUUUGCAAUCGACUACACAACAACUUUGAUGAACCAUUUUAUUUUAUUUAUUUAAUUAAACUGACACACGUGUUAUUUUAAUAGCCUUAAGUAAUAAAGAGCCACCCUUAGUUCUGUAUUGUCCGCAGUGCGCGCUGACAUCAGUUUUAUGUCCCCCACUAUGCCUUACGCUCCCAGCGAAUAUGCAAAUACAUGAUUUUCAUACGAUAAGUUGCUUAUUAUUUUAUACUUUGUGGAAAACAAUUAAUAAAAUGGAAGCUUUGCUACAAUCGUGGGAUUUAAGUGAGUUAUACUCGAUUUUUUGUGUAAACCAUAUAACUGACUUUGAAAUCCUUGGUGAAUUCCUUACUAAAACUCGAGAAGAGACCCAAAAAGAAAUAAUCCCUAGUGUUUGUUUACGACUUCGUUUAAAUAAAAAAUAUAAUGAAUAUAUUUCCCAUCACGAGAAGAUUAAUGUAAAACUUUUCUAAAAAUAAUAAGAGGAAUUUUUUAAAUAUUAAUAAUCCAGUG